CCUACGGGACGCAGCAGUGGGGAAUAUUGCACAAUGGGGGAAACCCUGAUGCAGCAACGCCGCGUGAAGGAAGACGGUUUUCGGAUUGUAAACUUCUAUCAAUAGGGAAGAAAGAAAUGACGGUACCUAAAUAAGAAGCCCCGGCUAACUACGUGCCAGCAGCCGCGGUAAUACGUAGGGGGCAAGCGUUAUCCGGAUUUACUGGGUGUAAAGGGGGCGCAGACGGCGAUGCAAGCCAGGAGUGAAAGCCCGGGGCCCAACCCCGGGACUGCUCUUGGAACUGCGUGGCUGGAGUGCAGGAGGGG
RNAcentral lists this ribosomal RNA (305 nucleotides) under uncultured bacterium. RNAcentral describes it as "bacterial SSU rRNA". It matches the Rfam family "Bacterial small subunit ribosomal RNA", at positions 338 to 657 of the family's 1533-position model. The record is from RNAcentral.